AAGGGUGCGUAACACGUGGGUAAUUUGCCAUGAAGUUGGGGAUAACUUGCUGAAAGGCGAGCUAAUACCGAAUGUGGCCCGAUGGAGGCAUCUCUGUCAGGCUAAAGCUGGGGACCGUAAGGCCUGAUGCUUCAUGAUAAACCCGCGGCCUAUCAGCUAGUUGGCGGGGUAACGGCCCACCAAGGCUAAGACGGGUAGCUGGUCUGAGAGGACGACCAGCCACACUGGAACUGAGAGACGGUCCAGACACCUACGGGUGGCAGCAGUCGAGAAUUUUUCACAAUGGGGGAAACCCUGAUGGAGCGACGCCGCGUGGGGGAUGACUGGCUUCGGCCCGUAAACCCCUGUCAUUUGUGAACAAACCUAUCCACCUAACACGUGGAGAGUUGAUAGUAGCAGAAGAGGAAGGGACGGCUAACUCUGUGCCAGCAGCCGCGG
Molecule: ribosomal RNA, 438 nt
Filed under: uncultured bacterium
Lineage: Bacteria
Description: bacterial SSU rRNA
Rfam family: Bacterial small subunit ribosomal RNA
Source: RNAcentral